Molecule: transfer RNA, 68 nt
Filed under: Takydromus sexlineatus (Asian grass lizard)
Lineage: Eukaryota; Metazoa; Chordata; Lepidosauria; Squamata; Lacertidae
Description: tRNA-Tyr
Rfam family: tRNA
About the family: Transfer RNA (tRNA) molecules are approximately 80 nucleotides in length. Their secondary structure includes four short double-helical elements and three loops (D, anti-codon, and T loops).
Source: RNAcentral
GGUAGGAUGGCCGAGGUAGGUGGGAGGUUGUAAACCUCUUUAUGUGGGUUUUACUCCCGCUGCUACCA